GUGUAUAUGGCUCAGGGGUUAAGAGCACUGGCUGCUCUUCCAGAGGUCCUGAGUUCAAUUCUCAGCAACUACA
This 73-nucleotide transfer RNA is filed under the name Rattus norvegicus (Norway rat). It matches the Rfam family "tRNA". From Rfam's summary of the family: Transfer RNA (tRNA) molecules are approximately 80 nucleotides in length. Their secondary structure includes four short double-helical elements and three loops (D, anti-codon, and T loops). The record is from Rfam by way of RNAcentral. Lineage: Eukaryota; Metazoa; Chordata; Mammalia; Rodentia; Muridae.